RNAcentral lists this long non-coding RNA (6151 nucleotides) under Anas zonorhyncha (Eastern spot-billed duck). RNAcentral describes it as "lncRNA (ENSAZOG00000014185.1)". The record is from RNAcentral. Lineage: Eukaryota; Metazoa; Chordata; Aves; Anseriformes; Anatidae.
GAGAACUUCCAAUGAUUUUCAGACAUAAAGGUACAGGUGGUAACAGACUUCAAAAAGUAAUUCUGUACCUGCUCUGUUGAUUACCAAUAUUCCUUAUUCCCAGAUACACCUGGAAGUAAAAAGGAUUUUAAUGCAGCCCUCCAUAAAAUAGAAACCUUUUUUCCUUUUGUCUGUAAAAUCCAAGAGGUCAUAAAAAAAUACCUGACAUGCAGCACCCAAUCAGGAUAGAAAAAUGUACUAAUUUACAUUUUACAGAACUCAUAAACAGAUUUAUAUGUGGGCCAUGAGAUGUGGGCUGGACCUGCAGUCCUUCCUGCUUUGUGAGGCAGAGAUCAAGAUUCUUCUGCUGUAUGGAGAGAACGUAAUUUUCAGAGCAGAGUUUCUCUUAUGAAAGUAGAGCAUAUCUGACGCAGGUAAGCACUCCCCCUCUGUUUUCUCCGCCCUCUUUUCUAAUGAGUUUCCUGCUUUUGUGGGACAGACCUGGAAGAGCUGGGAAAGUGUAGAAGGUAUGUGAUCGUCCAGAAGUUUUUUCAGAGUCAGAACCUGGAAAGCUGAGGUUCUACUUUCCCACGCAAGACUAGCACAACAGGAUCUCCCUGUGGUUUUGUGCCUACCCAUAUUCACUAUUUUCCAGCUUUUACUUUCAAAAUAAAUCUUCCUCGUCUCCCUGAAAGAAGACGCAAAAGGAGGAAGGGAAAGUUUUUACUGGUGUCCUGCCCUCAGAUCAGAAGGGGAAGAAGCAGGGACAGAAGAGCUUGCAUGAAUCUCCUUGUGAUGAAGACAGAAGUUAAAACAUGACUGUUCCUACCUACCAAAGCCUCAUUCUGAUGUCUGUCCCCUUAACUGGUUAUCCAUUCUCAAAUGUCUGCUACCACCACCCAUACUACCAUGUGGUUAGAGUCACACUGGAAGAACAUCCGCCAAGCCUUGUUGCUUCUUUUCACUGCUGCUCUUCUCAUUGGGGUCACCAUGCUAGCCAUUUCAUCCAACAUUAACCCAAUAGGCUACUUCUUCCUAGGGGUAGGUGGAGUAUGCCUGAUUGGUUAUUUGCUGAGCGUGUUUGUUGAGUGUUACUUGAAGAAUCGACACCGACAUGACACAAAUGAGGUACCUCCAAACAGACAAAGCCAAGCAGGGGUGAAUGCUGCCUAUGAAGCACCUACAUACGAGGAGGUGAUGACUAUGUCAGUUCCAGCGAUAUGGACAAUUGCAUCCAAUCCAGGCUCAGUGCCCUCACCACUGAGUGAACCCCCCCCUUACAAUGUAGCUAUUGAAUCACCUGCCCAGGAAGAGACUGUGAUGGAAACCCUCAGGGUCUCAGUGGCACCAGACACGAGGAGCACCUCUGAGACAGAUACAGGCUCCAGGAUGCACUUGCAGCUGGCGCUGCCCCCAAGAUUGCGAAUUACUUCAGACAUCCAUGAAGUGAAAGGUACUACAGACAGGGUUGAGCCAUUGGAGCCACUCACUCCACCACCUGCUUAUGAGAUUGCCAUCAACGAUGAGGUCUUUGAAGAUGUCUUCCAGCCCUCCACAGUAUGAUUAAUUCCACCUUCCAUGAAGGCAGGACCAAACCCCCACCAGGCUGAACCUCAUGGUUCUCCUGGAGGGAAGGUGAAAGAGCUGAUUUUUUUCAUGCCUCAAAUGGGUGAAGUUUGUCUUAUCAUGCCGUGAAACAGAGCUGAACUACAGACAUAGUAUCUACAUUCACUACAAACUUUGCACAAUUUACAUAUAUACAGUGCAAUACCAUGAUGCUUCAUCUUGGCACAAAAUAAGCAAAGUCACUGAAGAGAAAAUUGCGUGACAUACAGCAACAACCGAAACUGGAGAUAUAUCUUUAUGGGGGAGAAGAGCGAAUCAUAAGGAAAGACAAGCUGCCUUGGAAAGGGGAGGAACAGAAACAGCUCUGAGUAGUUUCUGCCUGUGCAUUACUGUUUGCCUGUGCAAACAGUAACACUGAGAGUUUUGUGAUAAUCAACCGCCCUAACUUUCCUAUUUGGAGACUGAGACUGCAGUUCCCUGAUUAUAAAAGUUUUGGCAGCAACACAAAUUUCUGAUCUGUGCUGCUUGUUGCUACGCCUCUGCUGCACUCACACCACAUAGUUGUGCUAACAUUGAGAGGAGGGUGGCUGCAUACAUUUGGAAGCUGGCACUACCUAAUACCUAUCACUUUGCUGCCAACCAGCUCGAGGUUGAAAACCUCACAGCAGUUGUGGCAUUAUGAAAUGACGUGUUAUUUUUAAUGUUCUCAUCCUACACUGCCUGCAGGUGAUGAACAUAAGGAAGACACCACCAUUUUUUAUUCCAGUGAGAGAGGUCAACAAUGGAACACAUAUACAUACCCUCUGCCUGGAGGGUUGGGCCGAGAAGAACCUCAUUAAGUUCAGCAAGGGCAAGCACAGGGUCCUGCACCUAGGAAGGAAUAACCCCAAGCACCAGUACAGGCUGGGGGCUGACCUGCUGGAGUGCAGCUCUGCAGACAGGGACCUGGGAGUCCUGGUGGACAGCAGGCUGACCACGAGCCAGCAAUGUCCCCUGGUGGCCAAAAAGGAUCCUGGGCUGUAUUCGGAAGAGUGUUGCCAGCAGGUCAAGGGAGGUGAUCCUAACCCCUCUACUCAGUCCUGGUGAGGCCACACCUGGAGUAUUGAGUCCAGUUUUGCUCUCCCCAGAACAAGAGGGACAUAGAACUACUGGAGUGAGUCCAGAAGAGGACUACGAAUAUGCUUAGAGGACUGAAGCACCUGUCGUACGAGGACACUGAAAGAACUGGGCCUGUUUAGCCUGGAAAACAGAAGACUGAGGGGAGACCUCAGCAAUGUAUAUUUAUCUGAGGGGAGGGUGUCGAGAGGAUGGAGCCAGCAUCUUUUCAGUUUUGCCCAGCGACAGGACAAGAGGCAAUGGGCACAAACUGAAGCAUAGGAGGUUCUGGCUCAAUAUGAGAUGGCAGUUCUUUAUUGUGAGGGUGACAGAGCACCGGAACAGGUUUCCCAGAGAAGCUGUGGAGCCUUCUUCUCUGCUGGAGAUAUUCAAAACCCACCUGGAUGCCAUCCUGUGCAAUGUUCCUUAGGUGAUUCUGCUUGGCAAGGGGUUGGACUAGAUGAUCUUAAGAGGUCCCUUCCAACCUCAUCCAUUCUGUGAUUCUGUCGACCACCAGUUUUGACAGCUGUACAGGAGGGCUUAUUACUCUGUUAUAGUACAGGCCCAAAGAGAUCACUUGAGAUAUUUUGUCAUCACAACAAAUGUUUGUGUAGAAAGGUCAAUACUCAAAGUUCACCAUAACCCCAUGCAUAGGCAUUUCUCUCUGGUACCUGGAGAGGGGCAGUCUGUCUGUCAAGGCUGUGACUGUAGCAGAGAGCACCUGAGUCACAAAGGUGGUCAGGUGCUCUCUGGUGGUCUUCAUCUUGACAGUUCUGGUUUGGAGCCAGGUUCUAGCUUUCAUCAAUUAGUGAUGCUGUUCAGUCUUUUAAAAUGGGCAAGUUAAACUGUUAGACCCUGUUAAAGUAGUUUGCAGUGAGCAAAGAGACACUCAAGUCCGUGAAUGUCCAAAUUAAAAGACAAACAAGAAAAAACAAACAUGGUCAUCCAGAUCUCCUUAUGACUGCAGGCAGCAAUCAUCACAGCAUUGUUUCAUAUGUGUACAUCAUUUUUAACUCAUAUCAUAGGCUAAAAGCAAGUAAAUUAUUUUUUAUUGUUUGAUUCUUUACAGAUGAAAGAACACAUUUUGUAUGUUGUUUAUUAAUAAACAAGACUACAUAAAAAACACCUAGUGGUAUUGUUCACUUUUCUUCUCAAAACAUGUAUUUCACAAAGCCAUGAUUUAUACCUGUUUACAUUAUGCUUUUUUGAUAAAGUUAGCUUAGAAAAAAAAGUGAUGAGUUCAAUUUCUAAGUGUACAUCUGAAUCUCUUUAUUACCAUUACUGAUGAAUCAGCUAUGACACCUGUCAUAAAAGCAAUAUGAGACAAGUUUGCUGAGGAUUUUUUUUAAAAAUCAAUCAUUUUCUGCAUGUUUCAGAAGGUGUCCUCUGCUUCCUGCACCUGCAAAAGAAUAAACCACAAUAAACAACAAUACAGGUGUAUAACACGGGAAUAGUUAUGCCUAAGGUAGGCAGCCAGGACUUCUCUCAGUGUCAGGAAGAAAUUCAGUUGACCAGCACAGAUAGAUAGCCAAAAGAAAGACAAGAAGAAAGCCACCAGUUAUGAACACCAGGGUUUUGUUUUCUUUAUCUCUUUCAAGUAUCGUCUGUACGGCCUGCGUGCUACUUUUCUUCCUUGUUUUCUUACUCAACGCUAAUUAAGCCCUUCGCUUUUACUUCUGCUGCAACGCCUUCCAUUAACCCGAUCUUGCUCCGACUCGGGCUUCUCUGCCCCCACCAGGCGCUCUGGGAGCCCGNNNNNNNNNNGCUUAUUACUCUGUUAUAGUACAGGCCCAAAGAGAUCACUUGAGAUAUUUUGUCAUCACAACAAAUGUUUGUGUAGAAAGGUCAAUACUCAAAGUUCACCAUAACCCCAUGCAUAGGCAUUUCUCUCUGGUACCUGGAGAGGGGCAGUCUGUCUGUCAAGGCUGUGACUGUAGCAGAGAGCACCUGAGUCACAAAGGUGGUCAGGUGCUCUCUGGUGGUCUUCAUCUUGACAGUUCUGGUUUGGAGCCAGGUUCUAGCUUUCAUCAAUUAGUGAUGCUGUUCAGUCUUUUAAAAUGGGCAAGUUAAACUGUUAGACCCUGUUAAAGUAGUUUGCAGUGAGCAAAGAGACACUCAAGUCCGUGAAUGUCCAAAUUAAAAGACAAACAAGAAAAAACAAACAUGGUCAUCCAGAUCUCCUUAUGACUGCAGGCAGCAAUCAUCACAGCAUUGUUUCAUAUAUGUACAUAAUUUUUAACUCAUAUCAUAGGCUAAAAGCAAGUAAAUUAUUUUUUAUUGUUUGAUUCUUUACAGAUGAAAGAACACAUUUUGUAUGUUGUUUAUUAAUAAACAAGACUACAUAAAAAACACCUAGUGGCAUUGUUCACUUUUCUUCUCAAAACAUGUAUUUCACAAAGCCAUGAUUUAUACCUGUUUACAUUAUGCUUUUUUGAUAAAGUUAGCUUAGAAAAAAAAGUGAUGAGUUCAAUUUCUAAGUGUACAUCUGAAUCUCUUUAUUACCAUUACUGAUGAAUCAGCUAUGACACCUGUCAUAAAAGCAAUAUGAGACAAGUUUGCUGAGGAUUUUUUUUAAAAAUCAAUCAUUUUCUGCAUGUUUCAGAAGGUGUCCUCUGCUUCCUGCACCUGCAAAAGAAUAAACCACAAUAAACAACAAUACAGGUGUAUAACACGGGAAUAGUUAUGCCUAAGGUAGGCAGCCAGGACUUCUCUCAGUGUCAGGAAGAAAUUCAGUUGACCAGCACAGAUUAAAAAAAACAGACAAAAGAAAGACAAAAAGAAAGCCACCAGUUAUGAACACCAGGGUUUUGUUUUCUUUAUCUCUUUCAAGUAUCGUCUGUACGGCCUGCGUGCUACUUUUCAUCCCUUUUUACUUACUCAACGCUAAUUAAGCCCUUCGCUUUUACUUCUGCAGCAACGCAUUAAUAACAAAAGCGCUAAAAUUAAAAAUAAAUAAAAAGAAGGAUCACAGAACUGGUAUGCUUGCAGAGAAAGCACACCCGUUAAUCCCGAUCUGCUCGCAGAACCCCUUCCGUUAACCCGAUCUUGCUCCNNNNNNNNNNGCUAAUUAAGCCCUUCGCUUUUACUUCUGCUGCAACGCCUUCCAUUAACCCGAUCUUGCUCCGACUCGGGCUUCUCUGCCCCCACCAGGCGCUCUGGGAGCCCGUUCCCCAGGGGCCAAUUUCACCACAGCCCUUCCCGCGCUGCGGCCAGCACGCACGCGCCGGCCCGUGAGGGCGCGCCAGCCCGCGCACGCGCACAGCGCACAGCGAGGCGCAGGGGCCCGGCGGGCGGGCGCAUGCGCAGGCGCCGUGACUCGGUGCCGUUUGAAUCUCUGGGCCCGCGGCGUGCUCGCUGCCGGGAGCGCGGGAAGGCGGGAGCGCGCGCGCUGCGCGGCCUCGGAAUCCGGCGGUGGGAGGGGGAGCGCGCAGCUCCCCGGCAGGGCCCGUCGGGGCGGGUGCUGGAGGCCUCUUCCGCCGCGUGUGGAGCGGGUCCUGCCCGGGGAGGCCCC